CGUGUAGGCGGUGCGAUAAGUCGGGCGUGAAAUCCCCGGGCUUAACCCGGGGCGGUCGCUCGAAACUGUCGUGCUCGAGGGUGGGAAAGGGAAGUGGAAUUCCCGGUGUAGCGGUGAAAUGCGUAGAGUAUCGGGAGGAACACCUGCGGCGAAGGCGGCUUCCUGGACCAUUACUGACGCUGAGGCGCGAAAGCUAGGGGAGCAAACAGGAUUAGAUACCCUGGUAGUCCUGGCCCUAAACGUUGAGCACUGGAUGUAGCCCUUCACCGGGCUGUGUCGAAGCUAACGCAUUAAGUGCUCCGCCUGGGGAGUACGGUCGCAAGGCUGAA
This 329-nucleotide ribosomal RNA is filed under the name uncultured bacterium. RNAcentral describes it as "bacterial SSU rRNA". It matches the Rfam family "Bacterial small subunit ribosomal RNA", at positions 568 to 898 of the family's 1533-position model. The record is from RNAcentral.